Molecule: long non-coding RNA, 4732 nt
Filed under: Populus trichocarpa (black cottonwood)
Lineage: Eukaryota; Viridiplantae; Streptophyta; Magnoliopsida; Malpighiales; Salicaceae
Description: long non-coding RNA (PTRI_LNC004280)
Source: RNAcentral
AAUAACUCUUGAAUAAAUACGAAGCUCUUUCGCUUUGGCUUUUGCUUGAUUUUCACGUUCUCUCCAUAUGUAUACUACGUUUGUUGCUUGAUGAUUACCUUGACUCUCACAGCAUUAAAGCAUGAUAAUUCCUUACCUUCUUCUUUUCAAGAAUUACAUUAUACAUCAUCAUCAAAUUUAAAUUUCGAUGAAAAACUAAAAUAUGUAUUGACUUUUCUUUUAGCUUUUUCACUUUUUUUUUUCCUUUUCCUUUUCCCUAUUCUUUUCCCCUCUUUCUGCUUUCCCUUUGCUCUCUUCUUUAUCCCUGAACAUCUCCUCUAUUCUAUUCUCUUGUUCAUAACAAUUAUCCCUUCUCUCUUCAUCUCUUCUCUCUUUUUAAAUAAGAUCUCUUGAUUAUGUAAAACAUUUUAUGUCUCAUAGUCGGGACAUUGCUGGGACUGAGGAUUCCCUUUCAACAUCCUGUGAUGAGAAGAAAAGGCCGGGGUUGUUGUGCCAAAAAGACGAAAAUAAACAGGACCAAAUUAAGGAAAUUUAGGAAGCGUGGCUACUAGAUCUAUGGUUGGUCGCAUGAGUAUAGAUCUAUGGUUGAUCGAAUGCCAUAGUUAUGGUUAGAACCUGUACAAAAUUCUUUAAGGUCAGCAUGCCUAAACUGAGCUCCCUGAUAGCCUUCAAUGCACUCUGUUUUUACCAUUUUCCUUUUUCGAGUUCACUUGGUGUUCUUAUCUCUUUCAUAAAAUACAAUCUUGUCUACAAUCCUCAGUUUCUAACUUCACUAUAUCGAAAGGAUCACGCCAAAGGAUCUGUUGUCCUUUACACAACGUGAGCACCAUGCGGUUGAAUCCUCAGAAUACUGCUUCUUUAUAGCAUAGGUUUCCCCAAGUUGAUGCGACAAGUUGCAUUAGCAAGAUCUGUGAUGGGAACAUCAGAACCUGGACUAUCAAUUUUUUGUUGAUUUUGUGACAGAGGUGACUAAUGAAGUUUCUUGAGGAUUUAGAGUGGGAAAGAGCUCGGAAGGCUUUCUCAUUGCCCUUUGUAUUUGGGUCCGAAUAUAAGGUAAGCUGGGGGUGGAAGCCUUUCGGGUCCUUGGAUUGCUGGUGGUAUCAUCCAGAGUUUAGAAGCUUAGAUGAGAGGUCUCUUCUGUUCAGCCACGUCGUUUUAGGAUCAUAAAGAGGCUGAGGCUACUAAAGAAAAACUCAAGGAUUGGAUUCGUACUUUUGGAUAAGCAACCGACAGAGGCAAAAUUGCUCAUUAAUGAUAUGGACCACGUGGCUGAAACUAGAGCAGUUUCAGACAUGGCUCCCCAAGAUGCGGAUCAAUUCAUAUUUUUUAGUUGGUUCAUAUCGAGUUAAUUUUCUUUUUGUUUUUAUUAAAAUUCAGUCUAAUCUAAAUGUCGAAAUCAUUGGUCGGCAUAUUAGCUAAAGUCAGGUUUUAAAUCAAUAGUUUCAGAAUAAUAAUUAGUAGCUUUGAAAUCUUAUCCAACAAGCUCUGAAAUCUUUUAGUUGGUCAUAUUAGGUUAAUUUUCUUUCUAUUUUUAUUGAAACUUGGUCUAAUCUAGACUUUCAAAUCACCGAAAUCACACGUCAACAUGUUUGCUCAAGUAAGGUUUUAAAUCAAUGCUUUUCAGAAUUAUAAUUAUCAGCUUUGAAAUAUCAUCCAACGAAGCUCUGGAAUUAUAAUUAUCAUGUAAUAAUAUAAGCAAAUUUCAAGUUGAAGGAAACUUUUAUACCAUAUGGAGAUGAUGAUAAAGAUGUAAAAUUAAGAAUGAAGGGAGCUAGAGUAUCGAACCAAUCUCUUACAUCAUGUGAAAUGAGGAUAAAGACUUUAGCUCUAAAAAAGAUUUAAAAUUAUGGAUGAAGACAAGACUACAUUUUUCUUGGAUACUACAUCUUGUCUUGGUUACAUGAACGAGACUUUUUUUUUUUUUUUGUUCUUAUAUUCUUGAAUUACAUUUAUGUUAGGUAGCCUGCAACUUUAGACUUCCUAUGCAACCUAUUUUGAAUAGCCACCCCUGCGUUUAAUUUAUAUUAUAACUUAUUACGCACGAGCAGAACACUUCUGUUGAAUGAAUCGAGCAAGUGGUCCGAGUGGCCAGAGCUCCAAACCUCCAAGACAACUCUUUGCCGUAGGCUGUCAUUUGUCGUCUUGUAAUUAACAGCUCUUCCGACACAUCAGCUAGAAGACAAGAUAAUAUUGGGAUAACUAAUAUACAGAUCUCAGCAAUGAAAUCGAUAAACAAUUUAGUGCAAGAAAACAGGGAUAGAGUUGAGACUCAUUCUGUUUUAUCCCAAAGCCAUAUGCUUUUUUAGCUUACAAAUCUAAUACGGAAAUAUUAUCCAAUAUUAGAUUGGCAACACCUUUUAUAAAACUUUAGGCAUAAGUUUUUGGCAAAUUUCUUUUUUGGUCCAUAUAGUUUUACAAUUAUAUAUAUGGAUUAGUCUAAAAUGUUAUUUUAUUCUCAUUCAAUUCCUAACUUUAAAGGAGAAAAUAGAGAGCGUAACCAUAUUAUAGCAAAUAAAAAAGGAAGUGGACGAGACAACAGGUUUUUGGCUAUGGAACUUGUUGAUCUUUGUAUUAUUCUAUUCCAUUCAAUAAGAAAAAUUUCGUUCAUAUAUUUAGAGUUUUAUUUUGUUUAAAAAAUAAAUCAGGGUUAAAAAAUUAAUUUUUUCUCUGGUUAGAUUUUUUUGAGAUCAUUUUGAGGAUUUUUGAGUUGGUUAAUGUGUUGUAAGACAUUCUAGGAGUGUUUAUUGAAUGUUUAAAGAUUAAAAUGGGUUAAAAAUAUAUUUUAUAGAUAAAAAUAGCAUCCCUAGAUGUUUUCUGAGUAGCGAACACUGUUAUUAAACCCGGCUUGGCCCGGCGGGUCGAUCCAGUAGCUGGACCAGUCCGGGUUUAAUAAAAGACAGGCUGUGACAACAGUUCGGGACCCGGGCGAACCCAGACGAUACCCGGUUUUUUUUUUUUAAAUGUGGGAUUUGAAACCCAUUAGUAUAUAUAUUCUAUGUUCCUAAAAAAAAAAUUUAUUUUUUAUUUUUUAUUUUUAUUUCUCUAACCAAACAUGUUUGUUUUCGCAUUAUCUUUAUUAAUUUCUUCUUUCUUAAAAAACUAACUAAACACUAUUCUUUUUUUUUUACUGUAAUAGUAACUAAACCAUGCCUUAAAAAACUAGAAAUUAGGGACUUGAUUUUUUAUGGAAAAAAUUAUAAAUCCCAUCACUAAUCAUCUGCGUUUAAGUGGUCGGAUUUUAUAAUCUAAUAUAAGCACGAGAAAAACAAUUUUGUGGGAUAAAUCAAGUAAGCAAGUGGUCCAAGAGGCAAGAGCUCCAAAGCCCAAACCUACCCGACAAGUCUCUGUCAGAGGACAAUAAUUUGUAGUUUCGUCGAGCAAGUGGCACUCGUUUAAUUAAUUGUAACUAAUAAUCCAAAUCCUUUCUCCCUAUAAAUUCAUGGUCUCUGUUCAAUCUUUGAACACAUCAACAACAAGACUCAAUAUUGGGAUAUAACUAUUACUUAUCAGAUUCAACAAUGAAGAUGACUAACUUUCUAGUGCUCUCCUUUCUUCUCUUUGCCUUCACGGCAACUUCAAUAUUUCCUCGUGCCGUUCAUGCUGAAGCAGUGAUCGAUGUCUUCGGUGAUGAGGUUAGAACUGGUGAUCGUUAUAUCAUCGGAGCCGCUUCGAAUGACUUUGCGGUCACUUCCAGCCGUAUCAUAUGCAAUUCAGAUGUUAUGUUUUCUCCAAUGAGCGAUGGACUCCCAGUAAUAUUUUCACCAGUUGUAGAAUCCAACGACAGUGUCAUCCACGAAGACAGUUAUCUGAAUGUGGACUUUGAUGCAGCCACAUGUAGGAUGGCGGGUGUAUCAACCAUGUGGAAGAUUGAAUUGAGGCCAACAGCGCGAGGAUUCGUUGUGACCACAGGAGGUGUUGCUGGAUUGAAUCGGUUCAAGAUCACCAAGUAUGAAGGUGGUAAUAAUUUGUAUCAGCUUUCUUACUGUCCAAUUUCCGAACCCAUAUGUGAAUGCUCAUGCGUCCCACUAGGCCAAGUUGUCAAUCGCUUGGCUCCCAGAACCAUCCCUUUUCCUGUUGUGUUUGUACCAUCCGAUAGAGCUUCUAAAAUCGAGUAUAAAAUGAUGUAAGAAUGAUAUAGAUCAGUACUGCAAUCCUGAAUGAGCUAGGGAGCUCGAUUGCCUGCUAUGAUCAUGUGUUGGGCAUCAAAUAAUUCUUGAAUAAAUACGAAGCUCUUUGGCUUUGGCUUUUGCUUGAUUUUCACGUUCUCUCCGUAUGUAUACUACGUUUGUUGCUUGAUGAUUACCUUGACUCUCACAGCAUUAAAGCAUGAUAAUUCCUUACCUUCAUCUUUUCAAGAAUUACAUUACACAUCAUCAUCAAAUUUAAAUUUCGAUGAAAAACUAAAAUAAGUAUUGACUUUUCUUUUAGCUUUUUCACUUUUUUUUUCCUUUUCCUUUUCCCUAUUCUUUUCCCCUCUUUCUCCUUUCCCUUUGCUCUCUUCUUUAUCCCUGAACAUUUACUCUCUUUACUUUCCUGUUCAUAACAAUUACCCCUUCUCUCUUUUUAAAAUUAGAUCUCUUGAUUAUGUAAAACAUUUUAUGUCUCAUAGUCGGGACAUUGCUGGGACUGAGGAUUCCCUUUCAACAUCCUGUGAUGAGAAGAAAAGGCCGGGAUUGUUGUGCCAAAAAGACGAAAUAAACAGGACCAAAUUAAGGAAAUUUAGGAAGCGUGG